AGUCGAGCGGCAGCGCGGGGGCAACCCUGGCGGCGAGCGGCGAACGGGUGAGUAAUACAUCGGAACGUGUCCAGUAGCGGGGGAUAACCAGUCGAAAGAUUGGCUAAUACCGCAUACGACCUACGGGUGAAAGCGGGGGACCGCAAGGCCUCGCACUAUUGGAGCGGCCGAUGCCGGAUUAGCUAGUUGGCGGGGUAACGGCCCACCAAGGCGACGAUCCGUAGCUGGUCUGAGAGGACGAUCAGCCACACUGGAACUGAGACACGGUCCAGACUCCUACGGGAGGCAGCAGUGGGGAAUUUUGGACAAUGGGCGCAAGCCUGAUCCAGCCAUGCCGCGUGAGUGAAGAAGGCCUUCGGGUUGUAAAGCUCUUUCGGCGGGGACGAAACGGUCCGUGACAACACCACGGAUCAAUGACGGUACUCGCAGAAGAAGCACCGGCUAACUACGUGCCAGCAGCCGCGGUAAUACGUAGGGUGCAGGCGUUAAUCGGAAUUACUGGGCGUAAAGCGUGCGCAGGCGGCUCUUUAAGUCAGAUGUGAAAGCCCCGGGCUUAACCUGGGAAUUGCGUUUGAAACUGGAGAGCUUGAGUGUGGAAGAGGGGGGUGGAAUUCCAGGUGUAGCAGUGAAAUGCGUAGAGAUCUGGAGGAACACCGAUGGCGAAGGCAGCCCCCUGGGCUAACACUGACGCUCAUGCACGAAAGCGUGGGGAGCAAACAGGAUUAGAUACCCUGGUAGUCCACGCCCUAAACGAUGUCAACUGGUUGUUGGGUCUCUUCUGACUCAGUAA
Molecule: ribosomal RNA, 790 nt
Filed under: uncultured bacterium
Lineage: Bacteria
Description: bacterial SSU rRNA
Rfam family: Bacterial small subunit ribosomal RNA
Source: RNAcentral